This 484-nucleotide ribosomal RNA is filed under the name uncultured bacterium. Its description in RNAcentral is "partial 16S ribosomal RNA". It matches the Rfam family "Bacterial small subunit ribosomal RNA", at positions 30 to 507 of the family's 1533-position model. The record is from RNAcentral.
AUUGAACGCUGGCGGCAGGCCUAACACAUGCAAGUCGAGCGGAUGAAGGGAGCUUGCUCCUGGCUUCAGCGGCGGACGGGUGAGUAAUGCCUAGGAAUCUGCCUGGUAGUGGGGGCUAACGUCCGGACACGGGCGCUAAUACCGCAUACGUCCUGAGGGAGAAAGUGGGGGAUCUUCGGACCUCACGCUAUCUGAUGAUCCUAGGUCGGAUUAGCUAGUUGGUGGGGUAAAGGCCUACCAAGGCGACGAUCCGUAACUGGUCUGAGAGGAUGAUCAGUCACACUGGAACUGAGACACGGUCCAGACUACUACGGGAGGCAGCAGUGGGGAAUAUUAGACAAUGGGCGAAAGCCUGAUCCAGCCAUGCCGCGUGUGUGAAGAAGGUCUUCGGAUUGUAAAGCACUUUAAGUUGGGAAGAAGGACAGUAAGUGAAUACCUUGCUGUUUCGACGUUACCAAAAGAAUAAGCACCGGCUAACUUCGUG